RNAcentral lists this ribosomal RNA (1923 nucleotides) under Burkholderiaceae bacterium. RNAcentral describes it as "partial 23S ribosomal RNA". It matches the Rfam family "Bacterial large subunit ribosomal RNA", at positions 1 to 1968 of the family's 2925-position model. Lineage: Bacteria; Pseudomonadati; Pseudomonadota; Betaproteobacteria; Burkholderiales; Burkholderiaceae. The record is from RNAcentral.
UAUAGGAUCAAGCGACUAAGUGCAUAUGGUGGAUGCCUUGGCGAUCACAGGCGAUGAAGGACGUUGUAGCUUGCGAUAAGCUGCGGGGAGUGAGCAAACACACUUUGAUCCGCAGAUUUCCGAAUGGGGAAACCCACCCGUAAGGGUAUCGCAUACUGAAUACAUAGGUAUGCGAGGCGAACGCAGAGAACUGAAACAUCUAAGUACCUGCAGGAAAAGAAAUCAACCGAGAUUCCCAGAGUAGUGGCGAGCGAAAUGGGAUGAGCCUUCUAGUGAUAAUUAUUGAAUUAGUGGAACAGUCUGGAAAGUCUGGCCAUAGUGGGUGAUAGCCCCGUACGCGAAAAUUCAGUGAUGGUACUAAGCUAGAGACAAGUAGGGCGGGACACGUGACAUCCUGUCUGAACAUGGGGGGACCAUCCUCCAAGGCUAAAUACUCGUGAUCGACCGAUAGUGAACCAGUACCGUGAGGGAAAGGCGAAAAGAACCGCGGGAGCGGAGUGAAAUAGAUCCUGAAACCGUAUGCAUACAAACAGUCGGAGCCUCUUUAUGGGGUGACGGCGUACCUUUUGUAUAAUGGGUCAGCGACUUACAUUCAGUGGCAAGCUUAACCAUAUUGGGAAGGCGCAGGGAAACCGAGUCCGAAUAGGGCGUCCAGUCGCUGGGUGUAGACCCGAAACCAAGUGAUCUAUCCAUGGCCAGGUUGAAGGUGCGGUAACACGUACUGGAGGACCGAACCCACUAACGUUGAAAAGUUAGGGGAUGAGCUGUGGAUAGGGGUGAAAGGCUAAACAAACUUGGAAAUAGCUGGUUCUCUCCGAAAACUAUUUAGGUAGUGCCUCAAGUAUCACCAUCGGGGGUAGAGCACUGUUAUGGCUAGGGGGUCAUCGCGACUUACCAAACCAUGGCAAACUCCGAAUACCGAUGAGUGCGAGCUUGGGAGACAGAGCACCGGGUGCUAACGUCCGGACUCAAGAGGGAAACAACCCAGACCGCCAGCUAAGGUCCCUAAUAUAUGCUAAGUGGGAAACGAAGUGGGAAGGCUAAAACAGUCAGGAGGUUGGCUUAGAAGCAGCCAUCCUUUAAAGAAAGCGUAAUAGCUCACUGAUCGAGUCGUCCUGCGCGGAAGAUGUAACGGGGCUAAGCAUAUAACCGAAGCUGCGGAUUUGCACGUAAGUGCAAGUGGUAGGAGAGCGUUCUGUAGGCCUGCGAAGGUGUGGGGUAACCCAUGCUGGAGGUAUCAGAAGUGCGAAUGCUGACAUGAGUAGCGAUAAUGGGGGUGAAAAGCCCCCACGCCGUAAGCCCAAGGUUUCCUGCUCAACGUUCAUCGGAGCAGGGUGAGUCGGCCCCUAAGGCGAGGCAGAGAUGCGUAGUCGAUGGGAAUCAGGUUAAUAUUCCUGAACCGCUGUCAAAUGCGAUGGGGGGACGGAGAUUUGCAGGUCAUCCGGGUGUUGGACGUCCCGGUUUCUGAGUGUAGGUGGCUGCUAGGCAAAUCCGGCAGCGUAUCACCGAGGCGAAUGAUCGAGUGAGCUUGCUCACGAAGUGACUGAAUGAUCUUCCAAGAAAAUCCUCUAAGCUUCAGUUUGACAGGACCGUACCGCAAACCGACACAGGUGGGCGAGCUGAAUAUGCUAAGGCGCUUGAGAGAACUCAGGAGAAGGAACUCGGCAAAUUGACACCGUAACUUCGGAAGAAGGUGUGCCCUAUUAGCGUGAUGAGAGAAACGCUCAAAGCGUGAACGGGUCGCAGAUAAUCGGUGGCUGCGACUGUUUAACAAAAACACAGCACUCUGCAAAGACGAAAGUCGACGUAUAGGGUGUGACGCCUGCCCGGUGCUGGAAGAUUAAAUGAUGGGGUGCAAGCUCUUGAUUGAAGUCCCAGUAAACGGCGGCCGUAACUAUAACGGUCCUAAGGUAGCGAAAUUCC